RNAcentral lists this ribosomal RNA (1321 nucleotides) under uncultured bacterium. Its description in RNAcentral is "16S ribosomal RNA". It matches the Rfam family "Bacterial small subunit ribosomal RNA", at positions 93 to 1421 of the family's 1533-position model. The record is from RNAcentral.
GAGCGGCGUACGGGUGCGUAACACGUGUGCAACCUGCCUUUAUCUGGGGGAUAGCCUCUCGAAAGGAAGAUUAAUACCCCAUAAUAUGGUGUCCGGCAUCGGUCGCCAUUGAAAGCCUCGGCGGAUAGAGAUGGGCACGCGCAAGAUUAGAUAGUUGGCGGGGUAACGGCCCACCAAGUCGAUGAUCUUUAGGGGUCCUGAGAGGGAGAUCCCCCACACUGGUACUGAGACACGGACCAGACUCCUACGGGAGGCAGCAGUGAGGAAUAUUGGACAAUGGGUGGAAGCCUGAUCCAGCCAUCCCGCGUGAAGGAUGACGGUUCUAUGGAUUGUAAACUUCUUUUGUACAGGGAUAAACCUGCCCUCGUGAGGGCAGCUGAAGGUACUGUACGAAUAAGCACCGGCUAACUCCGUGCCAGCAGCCGCGGUAAUACGGAGGGUGCGAGCGUUAUCCGGAUUUAUUGGGUUUAAAGGGUCCGUAGGCGGGCCUGUAAGUCAGUGGUGAAAUCUCAUAGCUUAACUAUGAAACUGCCAUUGAUACUGCAGGCCUUGAGUAAAUUUGAAGUGGCUGGAAUAAGUAGUGUAGCGGUGAAAUGCAUAGAUAUUACUUAGAACACCGAUUGCGAAGGCAGGUCACUAAGAUUUAACUGACGCUGAUGGACGAAAGCGUGGGGAGCGAACAGGAUUAGAUACCCUGGUAGUCCACGCCGUAAACGAUGCUAACUCGUUUUUGGAUCUUCGGGUUCAGAGACCAAGCGAAAGUGAUAAGUUAGCCACCUGGGGAGUACGUCCGCAAGGAUGAAACUCAAAGGAAUUGACGGGGGCCCGCACAAGCGGUGGAUUAUGUGGUUUAAUUCGAUGAUACGCGAGGAACCUUACCAAGACUUAAAUGGGAAUUGACAGAUUUAGAAAUAGAUCCUCCUUCGGGCAAUUUUCAAGGUGCUGCAUGGUUGUCGUCAGCUCGUGCCGUGAGGUGUUAGGUUAAGUCCUGCAACGAGCGCAACCCCUGCCAACAGUUGCCAUCAUUCAGUUGGGGACUCUGUUGGGACUGCCUACGCAAGUAGAGAGGAAGGUGGGGAUGACGUCAAAUCAUCACGGCCCUUACGUCUUGGGCCACACACGUAAUACAAUGGCCGGUACAGAGGGCAGCUACCUGGUGACAGGAUGCGAAUCUCGAAAGCCGGUCUCAGUUCGGAUUGGAGUCUGCAACUCGACUCUAUGAAGCUGGAAUCGCUAGUAAUCGCGCAUCAGCCAUGGCGCGGUGAAUACGUUCCCGGGCCUUGUACACACCGCCCGUCAAGCCAUGGAAGUCUGGGGUACC